GAUGAACGCUAGCGGCAGGCUUAAUACAUGCAAGUCGAGGGGCAGCAUGGUUGUAGCAAUACAACUGAUGGCGACCGGCAAACGGGUGCGGAACACGUACGCAAUCUACCCAAAACUGAUGAAUAGCCCUCCGAAAGGAGGAUUAAUACAUCGUAACCUAUUAGAGUAGCAUUACUUUAUUAGUAUAGCUCCGGCGGUUUGGUAUGAGCGUGCGCCUGANAGGUAGUUGGCAGGUAACGGCCUACCAAGCCUACGAUCAGUAACUGGUGUGAGAGCACGACCAGUCACACGGGCACUGAGACACGGGCCCGACUCCUACGGGAGGCAGCAGUGAGGAAUAUUGGUCAAUGGACGCAAGUCUGAACCAGCCAUGCCGCGUGAAGGAUGAAGGUCCUCUGGAUUG
Molecule: ribosomal RNA, 403 nt
Filed under: uncultured bacterium
Lineage: Bacteria
Description: bacterial SSU rRNA
Rfam family: Bacterial small subunit ribosomal RNA
Source: RNAcentral